Sorghum bicolor (sorghum) is the source of this 1392-nucleotide long non-coding RNA. RefSeq lists it as uncharacterized. The record is from RefSeq and is a predicted model, not a curated record. The transcript is spliced from 8 exons. Lineage: Eukaryota; Viridiplantae; Streptophyta; Magnoliopsida; Poales; Poaceae.
CCCUCAAUCUUUGGGCGGGUCAACCACAACAUUGCCAAAGAUUAUGGGCGAGAGCUCGGCUCAGAUCAGCCGUGAGAUCUUCUUGAAGGCUUCAUUGAAGAACCUCUAUUGCAGUCUCUUGGAUCGACCCGCUCAGCUCAGAAGUUGACUGUAUACAAGACAAAACACAAGCAGCCAAACAAUCACAAGACCCUGAUGCAAGCAAGCGAGCAUCGCUUCAUUUUCUGCCUGAGACUUGCCGGUUAAAGUCAGAUGUGUGACUUGAAAUUCAUGGUAAAAAAACAAUUAUGCUUCAUUUUUCGUCAUUCGAUUGAUGUACAUGCUUUGAGAGCUCAUGGCAACGCUCCCUGAAACACAAAAGUAGCAGCCGUGGAACGGUUCUUCGAUGACGACUGAACAUAUUGACAGGCAGAAGAGAGAAGUUCAGUAUAAAAAACUCCUGCUUUCUUUCUAUCUUGUGCCACGCAAUUGGAAAUGUGAUGCAUUUUUUGGGCUAGUAAUAUAUCAAAAUAAAAGAUCUUGGAGCUAGUGAUGCAAGCACUGCACUGCAUCUGUACCUAUCCGACUGUUGGGAACAAAUAGUGCUAGCUCAACUCACAGUGGUUGACAUUCUGUCUUGACAACUGCAUUAUUUCAGGAAAGGCAGAUCGUAUAAGUGGCGAGCUGUGACUGCCUAACAGCAUGUGGUUGAAGCCUGCAGAAAAGGCAUGCUAGCUACCGAUGGUUGACUUGACGCAACCAAUUAAACACCACUAGUGGGGUCGCAGAAUGGGAUGAUGGCUACGACCAUCAACUAACUACAAGAUCGGCGCAGUCGUUUUCUUUGCAUCUUCUCAUCACCUUCCAAUGAAAGACAAGGGAAUAGACUACAGGACACUCAGUCAUGGGAUCUUCAGAGGUUGACAGUAGUGGCACUUGGAGCAGAUCCUAGAAAAUUUCAAAUAGCAGGAUUGAAAUAAAAGAGUCCAAGUCGGUUCAGCACCAAAUAGCAUCUGUGUUUUGCUCGUUGGAUGACGAUUGGAAGUAGCAGCCACAGAACCAUUCUUCGUCGAUGAGGACUGAACAAAUUAAUACACAACAAUGACUGCUGCGCGCGUGCGUGCCCAGGGAGGAAGGGAGGGACACGAAAAUGGCGAUGUCUUCUUGCCCGCUUUCACACAGUGUAUGCGCGUUCGAUGCAACGGGAGUUCUGGAGCUCCUUGCCUUUUCCCUUUUUGUCCUCUGUUUUACUUUGUUUCUGUACAGUAUUUUUUUUCUUGCAUGCCCUUGAAUCCUUGUGUUGUGCCUGAGGAUGACCCCUCAUCUUGUCAGUAAAAAUUGGCACAAUCUGAAGUGUAGUUUAAUUCUAUUCUAACUUGGUUGAACUUUGGGGUUCUCGGUUUAUUGCUUUUA